GAAUCCCGUGAACCAUCGAGUCUUUGAACGCAAGUUGCGCCCGAAGCCCUCGGGCCGAGGGCACGCCUGCCUGGGCGUCACGCAUCGCGUCGCCCCCCCACCCGCGGGUCGGGGGGGCGGAGGAUGGCCUCCCGUGCGCGCUCCCGUCGCGCGGCCGGCCC
RNAcentral lists this ribosomal RNA (161 nucleotides) under Tetramerium rubrum. Its description in RNAcentral is "5.8S ribosomal RNA". The stretch from base 1 to 80 matches the Rfam family "5.8S ribosomal RNA", at positions 77 to 154 of the family's 154-position model. Lineage: Eukaryota; Viridiplantae; Streptophyta; Magnoliopsida; Lamiales; Acanthaceae. The record is from RNAcentral.